This is a long non-coding RNA of Sceloporus undulatus (fence lizard), 734 nucleotides long. RefSeq lists it as uncharacterized. The record is from RefSeq and is a predicted model, not a curated record. The transcript has 5 exons. NCBI's taxonomy places the organism in Eukaryota, Metazoa, Chordata, Lepidosauria, Squamata, Phrynosomatidae.
GAGGCACAGGAGCAAGAGAAGGAGCGGCCAUGCCAGACUGGGCCACAGGCGCCCUCAAGCUGUCGGCGGUGGCGUUGGCGGUGCUUUUCGGGUGGUUUUGGCUCUACGGCGCCGCCUUCUUCCCUUUAGUCGUCCUCUCGGCGCUUCUUCUGACCUCGGUCCUGCUCCUGCUCUGCGACGUUCGGCUGCUGCCGCGCCGCCAGCCUCCUCCUCCGCCUCCUCCUCGGCCCCGGCCCCGGCCCCGUCCAGCACAGCGGACAUCCGUUGCGAUGGCAGAAGUCGCGCAGAUGGCCAGAGGAUUGGCGCAGUUGGCCAGGCAAGCGGCUCAGGCAUUGGAAGAGGAACAGCAGGAAGCCAUAGCAGAGGAAGAGGCAUACGCUCCUGAAGAAUAGGAUGUUGGGUGCUGCUUUUACCUGCCUGGAAACUGCCUUCCGCCUUGAUGCUCUUCACAGACAAAUGAAGCUCCUCGGUGAGGACAACCCUGUUAGCAAGCUUCAGGUUAAGCUGGAGCCAGCUGAAACCGGAAGGCCCUCAGCAGAUGGGUGAAGAAAAGGAAGAGCUCCAUCCUUGCCAUUUGCUCACCCAGACACACUCGAGCCCCUGCAAGAGAUUGGAAUGCCUUGACGCUGCUUUUGUACCAACAUGGAGCCUGUGCAAGCUGCCAGGGAGAGGCAGGAGGAUGAAGGAGGCUGAGUAGGCAACUUGGACAAUAAAUAUUUAGAUUUUAAAUCCUA